CUCUAUCCCUCGCCCGGGGCCGCCCUCCCUGCCGCUCCCUUAGGGGCUCUGCGACACCCGCCUCCGGGGGCGCCCCGCCCCCCGCCGCGCGUGCCUGGUUACGACAUGGCGCUAACGGCCCCUCCGGCCCGCCGAGCUCUGUUUUCUGCGGCGGCUUCGCUACUGCUGCUGGGGGCGGCGGCAGGAAGCUCUCAUUUCUUGGAUAAGACUCAACUCACAAAGAAAGGAGAUGCACACUUGAAACAAGAAGGUAUAAUUAGAAUGCACAACUCAGUGGCUCUCUCUGAACCCAUGAAAAUAACAUCUAUCCCAGAUGUUCCACAAACACCUCAUCAAAUACUUGGAAAAGAAAACUCCACUGAUCCCUGUGAAAGUUCCGACUGUGAAAAUUCCUUCAACUGUAUCAAAAAGGUGGAAUUAUUCAUUAGCAAUAUGAAAAUAUAUUUUUAGAAAUUUGAUCCAUGUUUACAUUUCUGUCCUCGUGUCAUUGUAUUAAAAGCCUGUAUAGUUAAGGAACUUUGCAUGCAAGAAUAAAUGUGAUAGAAAACCGUAUUGUCA
RNAcentral lists this long non-coding RNA (558 nucleotides) under Apteryx owenii (little spotted kiwi). Its description in RNAcentral is "lncRNA (ENSAOWG00000010446.1)". The record is from RNAcentral. Lineage: Eukaryota; Metazoa; Chordata; Aves; Apterygiformes; Apterygidae.